RNAcentral lists this ribosomal RNA (492 nucleotides) under uncultured bacterium. RNAcentral describes it as "partial 16S ribosomal RNA". It matches the Rfam family "Bacterial small subunit ribosomal RNA", at positions 29 to 507 of the family's 1533-position model. The record is from RNAcentral.
AGUGAACGCUGGCGGUAGGCCUAACACAUGCAAGUCGAACGGCAGCACAGUAAGAGCUUGCUCUUACGGGUGGCGAGUGGCGGACGGGUGAGGAAUACAUCGGAAUCUACUUUUUCGUGGGGGAUAACGUAGGGAAACUUACGCUAAUACCGCAUACGACCUACGGGUGAAAGCAGGGGAUCUUCGGACCUUGCGCGAUUGAAUGAGCCGAUGUCGGAUUAGCUAGUUGGCGGGGUAAAGGCCCACCAAGGCGACGAUCCGUAGCUGGUCUGAGAGGAUGAUCAGCCACACUGGAACUGGGACACGGUCCGGACUCCAACGGGAGGCAGCAGUGGGGAAUAUUGGACAAUGGGCGCAAGCCUGAUCCAGCCAUACCGCGUGGGUGAAGAAGGCCUUCGGGUUGUAAAGCCCUUUUGUUGGGAAAGAAAAGCAGCAGGUUAAUACCCCGCUGUUCUGACGGUACCCAAAGAAUAAGCACCGGCUAACUUCGUG